This 267-nucleotide ribosomal RNA is filed under the name uncultured Synergistaceae bacterium. RNAcentral's name for it is "partial 16S ribosomal RNA". It matches the Rfam family "Bacterial small subunit ribosomal RNA", at positions 1117 to 1382 of the family's 1533-position model. The record is from RNAcentral. Lineage: Bacteria; Thermotogati; Synergistota; Synergistia; Synergistales; Synergistaceae.
ACCAGCACGUUAUGGUGGGCACUCUAAGGAGACUGCCGGUGACAAACCGGAGGAAGGUGGGGAUGACGUCAAGUCAUCAUGGCCCUUACGGCCUGGGCUACACACGUGCUACAAUGGCCGGCACAACGGGAAGCGAGUUCGCGAGGACGAGCGGAUCCCUCAAAGCCGGUCGCAGUUCGGAUUGAAGUCUGCAACUCGACUUCAUGAAGCUGGAAUCGCUAGUAAUCGUGGAUCAGCCAAGCCGCGGUGAAUACGUUCCCGGGCCUU